CCCGCCUCAGCCUCCGGAGCAGCUGGGAUUACAGGCGCCCGCCAUCACGCCCAGGUUCUCCUUCUCUCCUCUAUCCUGCCACUUUGUGAAGAAGGUGCUUGCUUCUCCUUCACCUUCCACCAUGAUUAAAAAUAGAAUAUAAAAACUUCUCUACUCCUGACUCACCAACGCACCAGAACAACUUUUAGUCCUGCAAUCAUGAAGCAUUGAUUGAACAUCUUCUACAUAUUAUCACCACCCUAGACACUACAACAACAAAGAAGGAUGAUGAAGAACAGUUUCCUGGGAAUCUGCCUAGAAUGAGAAAAUAUGGGUAAAGAAAAAUUGAGUGCUUGGGCAAUCUGGUGGUGGCAUGAAGUCAGGGGUGUACAUAGGAACAGAUAUAGAGAUGCUGAUAAGAAAAAAAAGAGGUGAUACAGUGAACAAUACUGAG
RNAcentral lists this long non-coding RNA (433 nucleotides) under Homo sapiens (human). RNAcentral's name for it is "HSALNT0071121". The record is from RNAcentral. Lineage: Eukaryota; Metazoa; Chordata; Mammalia; Primates; Hominidae.